CUAGUUUCUUUGCUUUUUCAAUCGGCUCCAACUCCAUGCUCCGUUGUUCUCCCUGUCCUAUUGUGUCCUGCACUUGGGGCCCUUCCGAGCGCCGAAGCUGAUGGGACACUCCUCUUCUCGAAAACAAACACUUCUUCCUCCCCCACGCCAGUUUUCAGGCAGCUGCAGGUUAUUCCAAAAUACCAGCUCACAUAUGUAUCCUCCAGGAUACAUUUGAUCCGCUGGUUUAUACAUGUUGUUAGUCUUAAUGGCCCUCUGCAAUGUGGGUUAGCAUGGGCCUGGGACACUGCAGUUUCUCCAAACAUGGAAAAGCGAAUUUAGGGCUAGCGACAAACUUGGGAGAGCUGAGGAAUGACUCUGAAUUCUUCAGUGGGGCGAGCCAGACAGAGAGAAUGAAGAAAGAACGACUACUAUAAGAAAACCCAGUGCAGUUUUAAGACAGCUAGUGGCUGCAAGGUCUGUUAGGAUGACAGCCUGUAACCAUACACUAGCUACAACCGGCUCUCAGUUAUCAAGGAUAAUGCAGAGGGAAGAAAAAGGGAAGUGCAGUGGGGAGGGAACGACCCAGAUAAACCAAAACUGCAAAUAAUAUAAAACAGAUGUAAACUAAACUACAGAAAAUAUAGUUAGAGCAUUCCUCUUUGAAAAACUUCUCAAAAGGGGCAGGAGGAGCUUUAGGCAGUGGUGGUAAGAAACGAGCCUGGCGCAGGCAGCAGAUUUCUGAGACUUGUGCUCUGUGAUGCUGUGUGGGAGGCAUGGAUAUUCAUGGGAAGUGGCACCACAGCUAAUCCACCCACAUGGAUGCAGAUUUUCCCUGUCUUCAGCACGCUCCUAGCAGGCAGAAGAAGAGAAGCAACACAAUCAACUGAACCAGAAGUCCUCUUGGGUAACCAACUGUGGUGCCAGUGCUGAGGAACUCCAGAGGGAUCUCACAAAAGUGAUUCUGCCCACUCUUGUGAGACCCCACCUGGAGUAUUGUGUCCAGUUCUGGAAUCCCCAACACAAGGAUAC
This is a long non-coding RNA of Cuculus canorus (common cuckoo), 1011 nucleotides long. RefSeq lists it as uncharacterized. NCBI's taxonomy places the organism in Eukaryota, Metazoa, Chordata, Aves, Cuculiformes, Cuculidae. The transcript is spliced from 3 exons. The record is from RefSeq and is a predicted model, not a curated record.